UGGGUGUCGGGGAAUUGGUUUACCCUCUCGCACUGGAGAGCAAUUAGUUUACCCUCUCGCACUGGAGAGCAUGGUUGGUCCCUCGGGGGGCGCAAUUCCUGCGAUGGGUCCCUAAGAAGGGCGCAGUCUUCUUUUGAAGUGCCGGAGUGAUCAGUUGUUAUAAGCAUGCAGCCGAGCCAAGUUGUGAUUACUUCUGAAUUCCUCAUUGAAAAACGAGU
RNAcentral lists this long non-coding RNA (218 nucleotides) under Malus domestica (apple). RNAcentral's name for it is "long non-coding RNA (MDOM_LNC016228)". Lineage: Eukaryota; Viridiplantae; Streptophyta; Magnoliopsida; Rosales; Rosaceae. The record is from RNAcentral.